AUGUCCCUCGUGUUCAUCCACAGAGCAGAGAUAACAGAUACACUUCUGAUCAGUGCGACAGAACAUCUUCAUCACCUCAUCAUGAAUGGAGCAGAUGUUCUCCUGCAGGUUCUUGGAGGGUUCCACCAGCUUGUGUUUCUUGAAUGCAUCUGCAUCCAAAUGAGGCUGAAGGUGUUUCUCACAGUAAGAGGCCAGACAGAUCAAACAGGACUUGAUGGCUUUGAGUUUUCUUCCAGAACAAACAUCACAGGACACAUCUUCAGUGUGAAGGUCUCCCUACACUGAGGACAGCUGUGGAUUUUCUCCUCUUCAUCCCAGAAUCCUUCAAUACACUUCAUGCAGUAGCUGUGUCCACAGGGAAUAGUCACCGGAUCCUUCAGCAGAUCCAGACAGAUGGAACAGCUGAAGGUUUCUUGAUCCAGAUCCACUCCUUUCUGCGCCAUUUCUCCUCUCUGACACACAGACUGUGUGAGUUUCACUUCUUCAGAAACCAGCCUGACUCUGAUCCUCCAAUCAGAUGGUUUCACAGUCACCUCAGCCAAUCAGCUUCUUCCUGUUGGUUACACCCAUCAUGACAGAGGAGGAGCUACAGAUCAGGAACCUUAAAGAGGAAGGCUUUUGACGUCUUUUGAAAAGUCAGCAAGUGAGACUCUGGAUCUCUGAAGUGACAUUUAUGACACUAAAUUGAGAGAAAAAGACAGAAAAAUCCUAUUGUUUUUAUGAAGGAAGUGCUAAAACUAUAACAUUAUAGACUUUGUAUUUGAUCAUAAAACAAUGCAGAAUUUAUUUUAUUUAUCUUAACAGCAGCAGUAAGUAGAGAAAAGGAUGACGGCUAUAUAAAAUCUUGUUUAUUUUUUCAUCAGUGUUUCACUACCUUCCAGAAGGAGUUCAUAAAUACACAGAUUUCCUUCAUUUAAUGUCAGUUGUUUCACAUUGAACAACAGGAACAUUGUGGACAUCAUUUCCCACAAUGCAUUGUUUUCUUGUCAUCAAGGCGGCUUAAAGAUUUUUUUUUUUUAUUGGCAAAAGAUGUCACAUUAAAUGUAAAGAGACAUAGGAAAUUAAAGACACACAUUUUAAACAAAAAAAAGACAAGAAUAAAAUUAAAUAAGUAAAUAAAAUACAAAGACAUAAUGAGUAAUAAAUUAAGGGUUAUCAAAAAGCUGCAGAUCACAUAUAAUAUCUUGAAGUUUCAGAGCAUGUUUAUUUUCCAUGAAAAUAAUAAGCAGAGUUCUUUAUGAAAUGUAAA
This 1249-nucleotide long non-coding RNA is filed under the name Oryzias javanicus (javanese ricefish). Its description in RNAcentral is "lncRNA (ENSOJAG00000002828.1)". The record is from RNAcentral. Lineage: Eukaryota; Metazoa; Chordata; Actinopteri; Beloniformes; Adrianichthyidae.